UUAAGUCGAUUUCGCCGACUUAAUCCAUAACCAGUCGGUCAUUCUCGUAAUUGCAAUUUAAGUAAUCCUUUAAGCCAUUUGCAAAACCAUGUUUGGGCACUUUUUGGGAAUUUUUCUGCACCCCAGUCUCUCCAAUCUCAGGCCCAAUGACUCCAUAGUUGCUCCAACUCAAACCAAUCCUAGUCUAUAUUAUUUUCAACCAGCCUAUAUAUCAAAAAAUAAAAAAUAAAUCCAGGCCCAAAUUUUCAAUUCCGGCCCCAUCUAAAAUUCCUCUUUCCAUCCCUUUUUAAGUCAACCCGUCCAAGACAAAUAACCCCAAAUUGACCCAACCAAAAAUUCGUUGAUCCGACCACCUUUUCCCUAAAAAAAACUGAAUACCGCAAUUUUUUUCCGGACGAUAAAGAACUUAAGACGAUACCAAGCGAUAGUAGUCAUGAAGAAGCCAAGCGCGUAGGACCCAUUAUUCAUCCGAGUGUCUAUUACAGCAACGGCACGCGAUUUGUCCUUGCUUACGGCUGCUCGUGACAGUUCGCUCCACAUCACUUGCCAAGGAAAAUCGUUCAAUCCGGAGCAUCAAUCCGCAUUUUCUAUAUCUGGAAUGGUGCAAAUUCGCAGAUAAGGGUAGGAACGGGAACGCGGGUUGGUGGAGUCAUCGUCCAGAAAGCUUGUUGUCCUAGUCGCUUCCUCGUAAAAGGUAAAUACCUCUCCUUUUCAGCUCAGUCUUCUCCUCUGUGUCUCUCCCAUGUUGAGGUCAUUAUGCUAUUGAACUGAAGUUUAUUGUACAUUCAUUCUAUUUUUUAUGUUACUUUAUAAAAUGGCUAAUAUCAAAAGAAAAUUGAUUAGGCGAGCCGUUUAUCAUGUCAUCUGUUGGUCACAAUUCUAAAUGGUAUCAUGUACAGUUCCUCCUCCCGUCUGCCAUAUCUUCUUUCUCUUUACACUAAGUGGUCAUUCUUCGAGUCUCUCCUUCGCUCUUUCACCAUGUGAUCAUUCUCUGUUCAUUCACUUUAAAGGUAGGUUCCAAACCUUGUUGUCCCUGCAGUUUAACUUCCAUAGUUUAGUCAUUAUAUCUAGUUGAUUGUUUUAGUGUUACUUUUUUCCUGUUUAGCAUGAACUUGCGUUAUUAUUUUGAUGUUGAUGUCAUUCUUUCCCCCCUAGUCGGAUGAAUGAAUGAAGGCAUCAAUGUUCACAGUUAAUUCGGUCAUCGUGCUUGCUAUGUGAGAUGUUUUGGCUGUUGGUUUUAAGCUUAUCUCAUUUUUUUCGUUUUUUUGUAGUCCUUUUUUUUGGAGUUCACCAAUUGUUAAAUAUAUAAAUAUAUAUAUAUGUGUAUAUAUAUAUAUAUAUAUAUAUAUAUAUAUAUGCUAUUUGCUGAUAGUUUAUUAAAUUUUUUCUUAUUUUUUUGUUCUUUUCCAUUAAUUCUUUAUGUUCAAAGGCAAAUGUUUAUUGUGGUAGUAUUUUCAUUUGUUUAUGUCAUUGAUGCUUUCUUACUAUCAUUAUAUUAGUAUUAUUUUAUUAUAUAAAUUCCAAAGCACUCUGGUUCAGAUAAUGGGUACUUAUUUCUAAUUUCUGAAUUACUUCAGUCUGUGUCAUCCUUGUUAAAGUUACUGCCGACUCCGUGCAUAUUUAAUUUGUCCACCUCUUUAAAUUCGCCUGACUGCCGACUAGAGUUUAUGCUAGGAUUUCUUGUUCGUCUAUUUCAUGGGCAACCCUUGUAGUGUGUAGCAGAGGAGUUUUGAAUAUUUAUUUUGUUGAAAUUAUUUUCUUGGUAUGCUUAGUGUUCUAUUUGGCUUAUUCAAGCCUGGGAAGAUUUAGCAGUUAGAUAUUGUUGUUAUUUCGUUAUUUUUGGCUUAAUGAUCUUGUUAUUUUUUAUUUGAGCAAGACUCUGUGGUUGAGCUUGUUAUUUGUUCUUCUUCGUUUCCAAUUUAGCUGAUGUUUACCAUUUUGCUUGCAUGUAAAAUUUGUCUGAGUUCGCCAUGAACUCUUCUUCCUUGAAUUUUUGGAGAGCAGUAAAGGCUCAACAUGUCCAUCGAGUCUCCAAUCUUUAAAUUGACGGACAGUUCCCAAAGUUUAAAGAAUUGGAAAAUUGAAGAAGUUGGAGCCGAAGUUUUUUUAUUUUUUUAUUUUUAUAUCCUAUUGUAUUUAUUCUGGGACUUAGCCAUUAUCGUCUUUUAAUUUGUAUCAUUAUUUGUUUAGUUUAGGACAAGUACAAAAUGGAUCGAAACACAAAAAGAUAAUGGGUCAGAAACCUAAUAUAGGUGGGUUCAAAAACAGUCAAGGCGAAAAGAACCCGGAUUUUGACCCAAAUCUCUUUUCCUCUCUCUCUUUACUUGCUUUUAGUUACUUGUUUAUUUUAUUUGUAGUUAGUUCUAAAGGUUAGGAAAAUUCAAUUCCCCACAAAACGCCUCUUUGAAUUUAAUGAUUUAGUCAAAUAAAAGGCCUAAAAGAUUUUACAAAUAAAAAUUGACUUAGAUAAAUAAUUCUCCUUCAAACAUAAUCCGAAAUGAUUUUUUUUGCUUUCAAUUUUCAAACAACUCUAAAGAGUAUUCAGAUCGCAAUUGUAAGUCUUAUCCAGAUAUUAAGUUAGUGUUCGGAUAGUCGUAAUUUAGCGGAACAUAUCAGGUGCUUUUAAAACCUUCCUAAGACGAUAAUAAGAAUCCUUGAACCCUUAUGAUUGUUUUAAAACAGUUUUUCUGUUAUGUCUUUUGAAAACAAUAUUUUUCUUGGUUUUUCUCAAAAAUUAAGUGGCGACUCUCUAAAAAGUUGAAAACUUUACAAAAACAAAAUACUUUUCCAAUUUUGGAUAAAACAGUGAGGGCACUAAUUGCAAUAUCAGAAAGUUGGUACCUUGGCGACAAACAAAAGAGUAGAGGUGUCAGUACAUGGUUAGUCUGUGUGAUGGUCUGAUCGACAUGAGUAAGCCUAUCAAGACUAAGAGAAGAAACAUGGACUAAAGCAACAAAAAAGUUGGGAUUGAUAGCCAUGUGAUUGCGGAAGCUUAAAAGAGGAUACUUGUAAACAUAGUGUUGUGUUGAGUAAUAGUGUGUCGCUUGAGGAAAAACAACAAAUUUAAGUUGAGGGUGUUUAUGUAACAUGGUUUCACGAUACAUUUAACUCUUUUUCCUUAAGGUUGAUGUGUGUCUAAAUCCUUUUUGUUGUAGUUUUACUGCGUUUUUGUCUUUGUUUUACAGGAAAGUUGCCCAAAACCAAAAUGCAGAAGGCUGUGAAGAACCUGUGCAGAAGUCACCCACGAAGGCUAUCGACGACCCUUCAUCCCAUAGACGGACCGUAGGUGGUGACCAUCGAUUGGAGGUUAAGGUAUCUUGAAGCAACUCGGGGAAUUCUGACUACAUGUGAAACUACGGUAGGAUCGACGGUCCGUCGAUUGAUCAACGGACCGUCCUGGCAAAAAGUCGAUGUGAACAGUGAAUGUCUCAGUUUCCGAUGUCGAAGAAAAACUAAGUAUGGAACAACGGGAAGCAUCGACGGACCGUAGGUGAAUCGACGGACCGUGCUGUUGGUCCAUCAAUUGGAACAGAGAAGAUACAAAGUGAAGGCUAAAAAAAGAUGUUAAGUAUGGACUGACUGAGGCGAUCGACGAUGUGUCAUUUGAUCGAAGGACCAUCUGUGGGGGACGUCAAUUGAAGUCGCGCUUUGGAAAAACUUUACUUGUUUUUAUUCCUUUUAGUUUAUGACUAUAUUUUAUUAUCAAUAGGGUGAAAAACCUCAUUUUUUUGGUUGGAUUCUUUUAAUAAAUUCAUACUUUUGUUCUUGGAGAUUUGUUUAAACUACUUGGGCAUUAAUUCAAAUUCCCAAAUUGGGUUUUUAAAAUAA
Molecule: non-coding RNA, 3828 nt
Organism: Solanum lycopersicum (tomato)
Lineage: Eukaryota; Viridiplantae; Streptophyta; Magnoliopsida; Solanales; Solanaceae
Source: RefSeq, a predicted model, not a curated record